RNAcentral lists this ribosomal RNA (253 nucleotides) under uncultured bacterium. Its description in RNAcentral is "partial 16S ribosomal RNA". It matches the Rfam family "Bacterial small subunit ribosomal RNA", at positions 524 to 776 of the family's 1533-position model. The record is from RNAcentral.
UACGAAGGGUGCAAGCGUUACUCGGAAUUACUGGGCGUAAAGCGUGCGUAGGUGGUCUUUUAAGUCCGUUGUGAAAGCCCUGGGCUCAACCUGGGAAUGGCAGUGGAUACUGGGAGGCUGGAGUACGGUAGAGGAGGGUGGAAUUCCCGGUGUAGCGGUGAAAUGCGUAGAGAUCGGGAGGAACAUCAGUGGCGAAGGCGGCCCUCUGGACAGUUCCUGACACUGAGACACGAAGGCCAGGGGAGCAAACGGG